This 446-nucleotide ribosomal RNA is filed under the name uncultured bacterium. RNAcentral describes it as "partial 16S ribosomal RNA". It matches the Rfam family "Bacterial small subunit ribosomal RNA", at positions 338 to 795 of the family's 1533-position model. The record is from RNAcentral.
CCUACGGGUGGCAGCAGUCGAGAAUCAUUCACAAUGGGGGAAACCCUGAUGGUGCGACGCCGCGUGGGGGAAUGAAGGUCUUCGGUUUGUAAACCCCUGUCAUGUGGGAGCAAAUUAACAAGAUAAUACCACAAGAGGAAGAGACUGCUAACUCGGUGCCAGCAGCCGCGGUAAAACAGAGGUCUCAAGCGUUGUUCGGGAUCACUGGGGGGAAAGCGUGCGUAGGGUGGUUAGUUAAGCGUGGGUGAAAGGCGCGGGCUCAACACGCGGACCGCUCCUGAUACUGAGAGACUAGAGUAAUGGAGGGGGAACCGGAAUUCUCGGUGUAGCAGUGAAAUGCGUAGAUAUAGAGAGGAACACCCGUGGCGAAGGCGGGUUCCUGGACAUUAACUGACGCUGAGGCACGAAGGCCAGGGGAGCGAAAGGGAUUAGAUACCCGAGUAGUC